RNAcentral lists this ribosomal RNA (498 nucleotides) under uncultured bacterium. RNAcentral describes it as "partial 16S ribosomal RNA". It matches the Rfam family "Bacterial small subunit ribosomal RNA", at positions 30 to 523 of the family's 1533-position model. The record is from RNAcentral.
AUUGAACGCUGGCGGCAUGCCUUACACAUGCAAGUCGAACGGUAACAGGUCUUCGGAUGCUGACGAGUGGCGAACGGGUGAGUAAUACAUCGGAACGUGCCUAGUAGUGGGGGAUAACUACUCGAAAGAGUGGCUAAUACCGCAUGAGAUCUACGGAUGAAAGCAGGGGAUCGCAAGACCUUGUGCUACUAGAGCGGCCGAUGGCAGAUUAGGUAGUUGGUGGGAUAAAAGCUUACCAAGCCGACGAUCUGUAGCUGGUCUGAGAGGACGAUCAGCCACACUGGGACUGAGACACGGCCCAGGCUCCUACGGGAGGCAGCAGUGGGGAAUUUUGGACAAUGGGCGCAAGCCUGUUCCAGCAAUGCCGCGUGCAGGAUGAAGGCCUUCGGGUUGUAAACUGCUUUUGUACGGAACGAAAAGCCCUGGGUUAAUACCCUGGGGUCAUGACGGUACCGUAAGAAUAAGCACCGGCUAACUACGUGCCAGCCGCCGCAGUAA